UACGUAGGGGGCAAGCGUUGUCCGGAUUUAUUGGGCGUAAAGAGCGUGUAGGCGGCUAGGUAGGUCCGUUGUGAAAACUCGAGGCUCAACCUCGAGCUGUCGAUGGAAACCAUCUAGCUAGAGUCCGGAAGAGGAGAGUGGAAUUCCUGGUGUAGCGGUGAAAAUGCGCAGAUAUCAGGAGGAACACCAAUUGCGAAGGCGGCUCACUGGCCCGGUAACUGACGCUGAGGUGCGAAAGCGUGGGGAGCAAACAGG
RNAcentral lists this ribosomal RNA (255 nucleotides) under uncultured bacterium. RNAcentral describes it as "partial 16S ribosomal RNA". It matches the Rfam family "Bacterial small subunit ribosomal RNA", at positions 524 to 776 of the family's 1533-position model. The record is from RNAcentral.